This 253-nucleotide ribosomal RNA is filed under the name uncultured bacterium. Its description in RNAcentral is "partial 16S ribosomal RNA". It matches the Rfam family "Bacterial small subunit ribosomal RNA", at positions 524 to 776 of the family's 1533-position model. The record is from RNAcentral.
UACGUAGGGGGCAAGCGUUGUCCGGAAUCAUUGGGCGUAAAGAGCUUGUAGGCGGCCAGGUAGGUCUGGUGUGAAAACUCGAGGCUUAACCUCGAGAUGUCAUCGGAAACCAUCUGGCUAGAGUCCGGAAGAGGAGAGUGGAAUUCCUGGUGUAGCGGUGAAAUGCGCAGAUAUCAGGAAGAACACCAAUGGCGAAAGCAGCUCUCUGGGACGGUACUGACGCUGAGACGCGAAAGCGUGGGGAGCGAACAGG